GGUUAAGCGACUAAGCGUACACGGUGGAUGCCCUGGCAGUCAGAGGCGAUGAAGGACGUGCUAAUCUGCGAUAAGCGUCGGUAAGGUGAUAUGAACCGUUAUAACCGGCGAUUUCCGAAUGGGGAAACCCAGUGUGUUUCGACACACUAUCAUUAACUGAAUCCAUAGGUUAAUGAGGCGAACCGGGGGAACUGAAACAUCUAAGU
This 206-nucleotide ribosomal RNA is filed under the name Escherichia coli. RNAcentral describes it as "partial 23S ribosomal RNA". It matches the Rfam family "Bacterial large subunit ribosomal RNA", at positions 1 to 207 of the family's 2925-position model. The record is from RNAcentral. RNAcentral also lists the same sequence under 1 other name. Lineage: Bacteria; Pseudomonadati; Pseudomonadota; Gammaproteobacteria; Enterobacterales; Enterobacteriaceae.